RNA transcript from Quercus robur (English oak), 1060 nucleotides. It is a transcript of the gene named hydroxymethylglutaryl-CoA synthase-like, with no coding region annotated. The transcript has 3 exons. NCBI's taxonomy places the organism in Eukaryota, Viridiplantae, Streptophyta, Magnoliopsida, Fagales, Fagaceae. The record is from RefSeq and is a predicted model, not a curated record.
AAACCAAAUAGGCUAGAUAAUAAAGUUGAUAUAGGUUUGAUAAUAUACUUAUGUUGGAUCUCAACCUCAAAAACAUGAUAUUGAGCUUGAUAUAGAGCUCGAGCUUGUUUUGACUAAUGAAACAAGCCAAGCUAAACUGAGCUCAAGCAUUUAUACUUUAUAACAAGCUCAAGCUUGAACAUUAUUUGUAGGCUCGUAUCAAGUUCAAGCCAAGUUUGAACAUUCUACUUUUGCUAUCAAGCCGAACUUGAACAUUUACUACUCGACACAUUUACUACUUGACAAAACUCGGCUCAUUUACCGCCCUACAAUCUAUACAUAUUAUAUAUGUCCUGCUGAAUAGACAGGAACUCACUACCCAAAAGUAAAAACAAAAAAUUAAUUCAGUAUGGUGUCUCCAUUACGUGGGCAGCAACAUAUUAAACAAAAAAUCAUGGUAUAUCAGUUUCAAAGGAGGAAUCAAUGAUAUACACAAACACCAAAACCAAAUGUCGUCCGCUCUUCUUAGCAUCGAACCUCCACGCCUCUGUCGGAUUUGGUGUUGGAACUGCCAUGAUCGUGGUAUCGUGACCUAAGGUCUAUGCAGAAGGACCAGCCCAACCCAUUGGAGGAGUAGCGGCUAUUGCCAUCUUAAUAGGACCCGAUGCUCCUAUUACUUUUGAAAGCAGAGUUAGAGGGACUUAUAUGGCUCAUGCUUAUGAUUUUUACAAGCCAAACCUUGCUAGUGAAUAUUCGGCAUUUGAAUUUGGCUGUCAUUUGCAUGGUAUUCAAUCAAGAAGAUUCAAUAUCCGGUGAUCAAGUUGCUUGUGGUAGACUCCCAUUAAUUAAUAUCAUUGUAGGUUGUUGAUGGCAAGCUUUCUUAAACAUGCUAGCUAUCUCAUGGCUCUUGAUUCUUGCUACAAACAAUUGUGUAAUAGUAGGAUUCUAUGGAAGUCUUGAAACCUUAACUAUGUUCUAAUUUUCUGAUAGGGCUUUUGUAGGAAUUAAUUUAGUGGUUAAUCAUUUUACUUGCCAUUAAUGGAGAUGAUAUUCUUUGUAGGAACUAUUUUAAUGAAAUGAA